This 252-nucleotide ribosomal RNA is filed under the name uncultured bacterium. Its description in RNAcentral is "partial 16S ribosomal RNA". It matches the Rfam family "Bacterial small subunit ribosomal RNA", at positions 524 to 776 of the family's 1533-position model. The record is from RNAcentral.
UACGUAGGGAGCAAGCGUUGUCCGGAAUUACUGGGUGUAAAGGGAGCGUAGGCGGGGAUGCAAGUUGGGUGUCAAAACUACCGGCUCAACCGAUAGUCGCACUCAAAACUGCAGCUCUUGAGUGAAGUAGAGGCAGGCGGAAUUCCUAGUGUAGUGGUGAAAUGCGUAGAUAUUAGGAGGAACACCAGUGGCGAAGGCGGCUUACUGGACAGUAACUGACGUUGAGGCUCGAAAGCGUGGGGAGCAAACAGG